CGGGACACGUGGUAUCCUGUCUGAAUAUGGGGGGACCAUCCUCCAAGGCUAAAUACUCCUGACUGACCGAUAGUGAACCAGUACCGUGAGGGAAAGGCGAAAAGAACCCCGGCGAGGGGAGUGAAAAAGAACCUGAAACCGUGUACGUACAAGCAGUGGGAGCACGCUUAGGCGUGUGACUGCGUACCUUUUGUAUAAUGGGUCAGCGACUUAUAUUCUGUAGCAAGGUUAACCGAAUAGGGGAGCCGAAGGGAAACCGAGUCUUAACUGGGCGUUAAGUUGCAGGGUAUAGACCCGAAACCCGGUGAUCUAGCCAUGGGCAGGUUGAAGGUUGGGUAACACUAACUGGAGGACCGAACCGACUAAUGUUGAAAAAUUAGCGGAUGACUUGUGGCUGGGGGUGAAAGGCCAAUCAAACCGGGAGAUAGCUGGUUCUCCCCGAAAGCUAUUUAGGUAGCGCCUCGUGAAUUCAUCUCCGGGGGUAGAGCACUGUUUCGGCAAGGGGGUCAUCCCGACUUACCAACCCGAUGCAAACUGCGAAUACCGGAGAAUGUUAUCACGGGAGACACACGGCGGGUGCUAACGUCCGUCGUGAAGAGGGAAACAACCCAGACCGCCAGCUAAGGUCCCAAAGUCAUGGUUAAGUGGGAAACGAUGUGGGAAGGCCCAGACAGCCAGGAUGUUGGCUUAGAAGCAGCCAUCAUUUAAAGAAAGCGUAAUAGCUCACUGGUCGAGUCGGCCUGCGCGGAAGAUGUAACGGGGCUAAACCAUGCACCGAAGCUGCGGCAGCGACGCUGAUGCGUUGUUGGGUAGGGGAGCGUUCUGUAAGCCUGUGAAGGUGUGCUGUGAGGCAUGCUGGAGGUAUCAGAAGUGCGAAUGCUGACAUAAGUAACGAUAAAGCGGGUGAAAAGCCCGCUCGCCGGAAGACCAAGGGUUCCUGUCCAACGUUAAUCGGGGCAGGGUGAGUCGACCCCUAAGGCGAGGCCGAAAGGCGUAGUCGAUGGGAAACAGGUUAAUAUUCCUGUACUUGGUGUUACUGCGAAGGGGGGACGGAGAAGGCUAUGUUGGCCGGGCGACGGUUGUCCCGGUUUAAGCGUGUAGGCUGGUUUUCCAGGCAAAUCCGGAAAAUCAAGGCUGAGGCGUGAUGACGAGGCACUACGGUGCUGAAGCAACAAAUGCCCUGCUUCCAGGAAAAGCCUCUAAGCAUCAGGUAACAUCAAAUCGUACCCCAAACCGACACAGGUGGUCAGGUAGAGAAUACCAAGGCGCUUGAGAGAACUCGGGUGAAGGAACUAGGCAAAAUGGUGCCGUAACUUCGGGAGAAGGCACGCUGAUAUGUAGGUGAAGCGACUUGCUCGUGGAGCUGAAAUCAGUCGAAGAUACCAGCUGGCUGCAACUGUUUAUUAAAAACACAGCACUGUGCAAACACGAAAGUGGACGUAUACGGUGUGACGCCUGCCCGGUGCCGGAAGGUUAAUUGAUGGGGUCAGCGCAAGCGAAGCUCUUGAUCGAAGCCCCGGUAAACGGCGGCCGUAACUAUAACGGUCCUAAGGUAGCGAAAUUCCUUGUCGGGUAAGUUCCGACCUGCACGAAUGGCGUAAUGAUGGCCAGGCUGUCUCCACCCGAGACUCAGUGAAAUUGAACUCGCUGUGAAGAUGCAGUGUACCCGCGGCAAGACGGAAAGACCCCGUGAACCUUUACUAUAGCUUGACACUGAACAUUGAGCCUUGAUGUGUAGGAUAGGUGGGAGGCUUUGAAGUGUGGACGCCAGUCUGCAUGGAGCCGGCCUUGAAAUACCACCCUUUAAUGUUUGAUGUUCUAACGUUGACCCGUGAUC
This 1837-nucleotide ribosomal RNA is filed under the name Escherichia coli. RNAcentral's name for it is "partial 23S ribosomal RNA". It matches the Rfam family "Bacterial large subunit ribosomal RNA", at positions 418 to 2240 of the family's 2925-position model. The record is from RNAcentral. Lineage: Bacteria; Pseudomonadati; Pseudomonadota; Gammaproteobacteria; Enterobacterales; Enterobacteriaceae.